AGGGAAGCAGGCCGUGCUGGGAAGCGUCACAAACGACCUGAGCGAUUCACGGAUCCCCUUCUGCGGACUCGGCCCUUGCGCUUUGCCCCGGAAGGAGCACCUCCCCUGAGAUCUCGGCGCGCUCACGGGGCCACUUCAGCGCCUCUGGGCCCUCGUGUGCCGUGCGCUCCCGGCGAACGGCAGGGACGGGGACAGGCCGACUCCCACGGCCUGUGUCCUCAGUGGGACAAAAGAUACGUAUAUUAAGGCUGACCUGGGUCGAACAAGGAGAAACCCAACUUCCUUUGAUCCACAGGACGCUCACCGCUGGAUGGACCUCUGCCUGCAGGCUCUCGUGGGACGCAUACAUGUCACUAGAGGGAACAGUCCUUGGCAUCACUGCGGCUCUACGAGACCAGCCAUUUUUAAAGGAACCAGGCUACGGCCCUCACUCGGUCUGAGCCAAGCUUCCUCCUGCAUGGUGAAGGGCGUGGAUGGCACCCCCAGCCAAGCACGCCCAAUGUGUGUCCACACCCCAGCAAACACCCACCUCUUUGCCCCCUUGCUGGGCUGGGACUGUGUGGUCUCUCCAUGGAUGGAUGAAUCCCCGAGGACACGGCAUUCAUGGCUCUGGACACGGACGCAGGGCCAUCUGGGCACGACAUCUCCAGGGCCCAGGACCUGCAGCAUGGGUCCAGAAGAGGGACGCUUCUCCUUCGUCUCACAGACCCCUUGCCCUAUGGGGAGGGGCACGGCCAGGACAGCGCCCCACUUGCCCCAGUGUGAAGAAGGUCAUGGGCUGACCAAAGAGCAGUUCAACUUCAAGGAUGGAGUCUUCUGGAGAGCAAGGGUUAGGGGUUUUUUCAGGCUGGAAGAAGGAACACUUGCGGGAAUGGGAACCCAGGAUUGUAAUGGUGACAGGGAACAUAGAUAGCUUGUCAGUUACAUGCAUUUUUCUGUGUUGGACCAAGACACAGGCUGGCUGAAUCCGUUACAAAACAAGAGCAUUUUCCCCCGAGCUUUUACUCGGGAGUUGAAACCACCAACUCCUAUGUGAUAUUUUCCAGAUUAACGGAAGUGAUCGCUGGAGGUCACGCAACUAAUGAAGAUCAAGUCACAAUCAAGUCAGGUUCGUGGGAUCAAACUCCGUAUCAGGCUCUGCGCUAAGCGUGAAGACUGCUUAAGAUUCUCUCUCUCUCCCUCUGCCCCUCUCACCUGUGCUCUCUCUCUCUCUCUCAAAAAAUUAAAAAAUAAAUUAAAAUUUAAAAAGUAAUAAAAAGAUUAAAUUUACUAAGUGUCUAAACUUAAAGGAAAAUAUCAGACCAAUUCACGAAAGACGAUCCAUUUACAAGAAAAAUGAAGACUUCCAAUCGCUUCCUUUAGUCCUGUGCAGGCAGUACAUACAUCUUGUUUUCCCCAACAGUAGGAUUCGGGAUUACAAUCCGGUUUUCCUAUUUUGACUAAUUCAGAGCUCUUUUGAGAGGGUUGAUUUGAUCAAAGCAAUGGGAAGUAUUUUAACUCUUACAAGUUCUUGAACUCUAAAAUAGAUGGUACUCAUGACGUCACAACACUGACAUGGGCCGUGUGGAAGGUCACAUCUAAAUCAAAAGGAAGAACACACCUGAGUACAGUGGGAGAGUUAAUCACCACAAUGCUAGAUGCCAUACAGCAGUUUCAUGGGAUGGGGUCAGAUCCGGAUGAGUAUCCAGCAAGGGAGAGGUACCGGUGUGGCAGUCAUUGGUUUUGCUACACUAACUGCUAAGUGUUUAUUGAGCACCUAACUAUGUGAAAGACCCCAUGCCAGGUCCAAAGACCUAUAAAAUGGGUCCCUUGCAAGCUGCUUAUGCUAUGGUUUCCCUCAGUGCUUAGGGUUUGGAAAGCACCUAGGAGUAGACAAGUAAUCAAAAGUGAUUUGUAAAGUAGCCUGGCAAGUGCUAAGCACCCAGUACUUGGAAUAGAAGAUGGAGGCUAGGCAGGUGGCUCUUACUUCUAAAUUCCAAUUUCUCUUGCUGUAGCGUUUAAACUUCUGUGGGGAACAGGAAAAGGUGACUAAAUGGAAGUCUGUAUUUACCUCUAUAUUGGCCUUCCAGAAACGUGUUUAUUGGGAUUCUAUAUAGCCAUUUAAAUAUGUUAGAUUCUAAAUAUGCUGAACGGAGUUAAAUGUGCUUUUUUGGAAAGUUGUCUAAGGGAUGCAAAGGUAAAAAACAAGUUCUGGAAAUUAUGUAGUGGGAUAUAGGUGCCCCUGUAUAUAUAUAUAUGCAUAGAAACUUUCUGAAAGAAAAUUAAGAUUCAUUCACAGUGUUCCCAGGAUGCAGAAAUGGCAGGUCAGGUGGUAAAAGAGGUCAGAGUAGCAACUAGUGCUUUUCAUUUUCCAUUCUUUUGUGCUCUCUGAAGCAAUGUUUCCAUAAGACAGAAUUUCUGGAAUACAGAUUUCCAAAAAUAAAAAAUAAUGCACAUUUAUAACCUCAUCUACCAAGAGAUAACGUUUGUGAAAACCUUGGUGUGUGUCUUUCCAGACUUUCAAUCUUCCACAUAUUUCUUCGUUUUAACAAAGAAUCAUACUUUCUUUAUUUUUAAGAUUCAUACUUUAAUGUUGUCUUGCGAUCUGAAUGUUUUCAUUUAAUAAUUUACUGAGAAUAUUUUUCCUGUGAAUACACCUUCAUUUAGGGCACUGUUCUUCAAAGACUGGAUGGUAUUCCAGUGUAUUUGUUAUACCAUCAUGUACUGAAUCAAUCCUCCUUAUGUUGGAUAUCUAGGUUGCUUCUAAUUAUUCUCUUUCUCCCUUACGAACAAUGUAUUGAUUCACCUGAUAACUAAAUCUUUGUGCGCAUGUCUUA
Molecule: RNA transcript, 2816 nt
Organism: Neofelis nebulosa (Clouded leopard)
Lineage: Eukaryota; Metazoa; Chordata; Mammalia; Carnivora; Felidae
Exons: 7
Source: RefSeq, a predicted model, not a curated record